AUUGAACGCUGGCGGCAGGCCUAACACAUGCAAGUCGAACGGUAACAGGAAGAAGCUUGCUUCUUUGCUGACGAGUGGCGGACGGGAGGGUAAUGUCUGGGAAACGGCCUGAUGGAGGGGGUUCACUACUGGAAACGGUAGCUACUACCGCAUAAUGUCGCAAGAUCAAAGAUCGUGACCUUCCGCCCUCUCACCUGCGCCUGUGCCCAGAUGGGAUUAGCUAGUAGGUGGGGUAAAGGCUCACCUAGGCGACGAUCCCUACCUGGUCUGAGAGGAUGAACAGCCACACUGGAACUGAGACACGGUCCAGACUCCUACGGGAGGCAGCAGUGGGGAAUAUUGGACAAUGGGCGCAAGCCUGAUGCAGCUAUGCCGCGUGUAUGAAGAAGGUCUUCGGGUUGUAAAGUACUUUCAGCGGGGAGGAAGGGAAUAAAGUUAAUACCUUUCCUUAUUGACGUUACCAGCAGAAUAAGCACCGGCUAACUCCGUG
This 490-nucleotide ribosomal RNA is filed under the name uncultured bacterium. RNAcentral describes it as "partial 16S ribosomal RNA". It matches the Rfam family "Bacterial small subunit ribosomal RNA", at positions 30 to 507 of the family's 1533-position model. The record is from RNAcentral.